AUUGAACGCUGGCGGCAUGCUUUACACAUGCAAGUCGAACGGCAGCGCGGGGGCAACCCUGGCGGCGAGUGGCGAACGGGUGAGUAAUGCAUCGGAACGUAUCCUGUAAUGGGGGAUAACGUAGCGAAAGUUACGCUAAUACCGCAUACGCUCGAGAGAGGAAAGUGGGGGAUCGCAAGACCUCUUGCUUUAGGAGCGGCCGAUGUCGGAUUAGCUAGUUGGUGAGGUAAAGGCUCACCAAGGCGACGAUCCGUAGCGGGUCUGAGAGGAUGAUCCGCCACACUGGGACUGAGACACGGCCCAGACUCCUACGGGAGGCAGCAGUGGGGAAUUUUGGACAAUGGGCGCAAGCCUGAUCCAGCCAUGCCGCGUGAGUGAAGAAGGCCU
RNAcentral lists this ribosomal RNA (387 nucleotides) under uncultured bacterium. RNAcentral's name for it is "bacterial SSU rRNA". It matches the Rfam family "Bacterial small subunit ribosomal RNA", at positions 30 to 417 of the family's 1533-position model. The record is from RNAcentral.